AAUCAACGCUGGCGGCGUGCCUAACACACGCAAGUCGAACGCGAAAGUCCCGCAAGGGAUUAGUAGAGUGGCAAACGGGUGAGUAACACGUGGGUGACCUGCCUUCGAGUGGGGGAUAACGUCCCGAAAGGGACGCUAAUACCGCAUAACAUCCUGCCUUUGAAGAGGUGGAGAUCAAAGCUGGGGACCGCAAGGCCUGGCGCUGGAAGAGGGGCCCGCGUCUGAUUAGCUAGUUGGUGAGGUAACGGCUCACCAAGGCAACGAUCAGUAUCCGGCCUGAGAGGGCGGACGGACACACUGGGACUGAGACACGGCCCAGACUCCUACGGGAGGCAGCAGUGGGGAAUUGUUCGCAAUGGGCGCAAGCCUGACGACGCAACGCCGCGUGGAGGAUGAAGA
RNAcentral lists this ribosomal RNA (399 nucleotides) under uncultured bacterium. Its description in RNAcentral is "bacterial SSU rRNA". It matches the Rfam family "Bacterial small subunit ribosomal RNA", at positions 29 to 414 of the family's 1533-position model. The record is from RNAcentral.